Molecule: non-coding RNA, 136 nt
Organism: Arachis ipaensis
Lineage: Eukaryota; Viridiplantae; Streptophyta; Magnoliopsida; Fabales; Fabaceae
Source: RefSeq, a predicted model, not a curated record
UUGGUUUGUUGAAAAUUGUGAGAGUUUCUUCAAUUUCUUCAAUCCACCACAAGUUCCUGAAGAUGAUGAAGAUAUUGAUGAAGAUAUGGCCGAGGAACUUCAGAAUCAGAUGGAGCAAGACUAUGACAUUGGGUGA